GGCAGCACUCAAUGUCCCCUUGAUGACCUUGUCAAGAUUCACCAUCUUGUGAAUGUUGCCUUUUAAUCCAGGUCCCAAAUUUGGAUGCCUAAAUUUGAAAUUCAGCUUGAAUAAAGGUACUAAUUUUGGGGGGCCCUUUAGCUUGAAUAUAGAUGGUAUAGCUACUAACUAUGUAAUUAACAUUGUCAAUAUUUCUAUUUUUACAUACAGGUUAUUUUACAACACCUAUGCCACAUUACUUGACCAGGUCGAAACACACCAAACAGUCCAAACCCACUACUGCCAUGGCAAGCUCUAGCAAGU
Molecule: non-coding RNA, 303 nt
Organism: Paramuricea clavata
Lineage: Eukaryota; Metazoa; Cnidaria; Anthozoa; Malacalcyonacea; Plexauridae
Source: the annotation of a GenBank genome assembly